This 20-nucleotide non-coding RNA is filed under the name Arabidopsis thaliana (thale cress). The record is from RNAcentral. Lineage: Eukaryota; Viridiplantae; Streptophyta; Magnoliopsida; Brassicales; Brassicaceae.
CAGUUUAGUUUUGAUGUGUC